UACAGAGGUCUCAAGCGUUGUUCGGAUUUAUUGGGCGUAAAGGGCGCGUAGGCGGCGGGGUAAGUCGGGUGUGAAAUCUUGGAGCUUAACUCCGAAACUGCAUUCGAUACUGCCGUGCUUGAGGACUGGAGAGGAGACUGGAAUUUACGGUGUAGCGGUGAAAUGCGUAGAUAUCGUAAGGAAGACCAGUGGCGAAGGCGGGUCUCUGGACAGUUCCUGACACUGAGACACGAAGGCCAGGGGAGCAAACGGG
RNAcentral lists this ribosomal RNA (253 nucleotides) under uncultured bacterium. Its description in RNAcentral is "partial 16S ribosomal RNA". It matches the Rfam family "Bacterial small subunit ribosomal RNA", at positions 524 to 776 of the family's 1533-position model. The record is from RNAcentral.